Molecule: ribosomal RNA, 449 nt
Filed under: uncultured bacterium
Lineage: Bacteria
Description: partial 16S ribosomal RNA
Rfam family: Bacterial small subunit ribosomal RNA
Source: RNAcentral
AACGAACGCUGGCGGCAUGCCUAACACAUGCAAGUCGAACGAGACCUUCGGGUCUAGUGGCGCACGGGUGCGUAACGCGUGGGAAUCUACCCAAAGGUACGGAAUAACUCUCCGAAAGGAGUGCUAAUACCGUAUGAUGUCGCAAGACCAAAGAUUUAUCGCCUUUGGAUGAGCCCGCGUAGGAUUAGCUUGUUGGUGAGGUAAAGGCUCACCAAGGCGACGAUCCUUAGCUGGUCUGAGAGGAUGAUCAGCCACACUGGGUCUGAGACACGGCCCAGACUCCUACGGGAGGCAGCAGUGGGGAAUAUUGGACAAUGGGCGAAAGCCUGAUCCAGCAAUGCCGCGUGAGUGAUGAAGGCCUUAGGGUUGUAAAGCUCUUUUACCCGGGAAGAUAAUGACUGUACCGGGAGAAUAAGCCCCGGCUAACUCCGUGCCAGCCGCCGCCGUAA